GUCGAGUGCGCGUCUGUAGCAAUACAGAUGGCGCACGGCGCACGGGUGCGUAACACGUGGGUAAUCUGCCCUUCGAUGGGGAAUAUCUUCGGGAAACCGAAGCGAAUUCCGCAUAACAUUCCUUGAACUUCGGUUUGGGGACUCAAAGCCGUAAGGCGUCGGAGGAGGAACCCGCGCACGAUUAGCUAGUUGGUAGGGUAACGGCCUACCAAGGCUUUGAUCGUUAGCUGGUCUGAGAGGAUGGCCAGCCACACUGGAACUGAGACACGGUCCAGACUCCUACGGGAGGCAGCAGUGGGGAAUCUUGCACAAUGGGCGAAAGCCUGAUGCAGCGACGCCGCGUGGGGGAUGAAGCUUUUCGGAGUGUAAACCCCUUUCGACCCGGACGAAUGCCCCGCAAGGGGACUGACGGUACGGGUAUAAGAAGCCCCGGCUAACUACGUGCCAGCAGCCGCGGUAAGACGUGGGGGGCCAGCGUUGCUCGGAAUUACUGGGUGUAAAGGGUUCGUAGGCGGUGUGGCAAGUCGGGAGUGAAAUCUCUGGGCUUAACUCAGAGUCUGCUUCCGAAACUGCUGUGCUUGAGUGUGGGAGAGGCGCGUGGAAUUGCAGGUGUAGCGGUGAAAUGCGUAGAUAUCUGCAGGAACACCCGUG
Molecule: ribosomal RNA, 651 nt
Filed under: uncultured bacterium
Lineage: Bacteria
Description: bacterial SSU rRNA
Rfam family: Bacterial small subunit ribosomal RNA
Source: RNAcentral